RNAcentral lists this transfer RNA (75 nucleotides) under Clostridia bacterium. RNAcentral's name for it is "tRNA-Gln". It matches the Rfam family "tRNA". From Rfam's summary of the family: Transfer RNA (tRNA) molecules are approximately 80 nucleotides in length. Their secondary structure includes four short double-helical elements and three loops (D, anti-codon, and T loops). The record is from RNAcentral. Lineage: Bacteria; Bacillati; Bacillota; Clostridia.
UGGGGCGUCGUCAAGCGGUAAGACAACAGACUUUGACUCUGUCAUUCGCUGGUUCAAAUCCAGCCGUCCCAGCCA